GAUCAUGGCUCAGGAUGAACGCUAGCUACAGGCUUAACACAUGCAAGUCGAGGGGCAGCAGAGCAAUAGCUUGCUAUUGUGCUGGCGACCGGCGCACGGGUGAGUAACGCGUAUCCAACCUACCCCGCGGUCAGGGACAGCCCGGCGAAAGUCGGAUUAAUACCUGAUGCAGUCAGAAGAGGGCAUCUGAUUUUGACGAAAGAUUCAUCGCCUCGGGAUGGGGAUGCGUAGGAUUAGGCAGGCGGCGGGGUAACGGCCCACCGCGCCGACGAUCCUUAGGGGUUCUGAGAGGAAGGUCCCCCCACACUGGUACUGAGACACGGACCAGACUCCUACGGGAGGCAGCAGUGAGGAAUAUUGGUCAAUGGGCGCGAGCCUGAACCAGCCAAGUAGCCGUGCAGGAGGACGGCCCUAUGGGUUGUAAACUGCUUUUAUGCGGGGAUAAAGUGCGGCACGUGUGCCGUUUUGUAGGUACCGCAUGAAUAAGGACCGGCUAAUUCCGUGCCAGCCGCCGC
RNAcentral lists this ribosomal RNA (515 nucleotides) under uncultured bacterium. RNAcentral's name for it is "bacterial SSU rRNA". It matches the Rfam family "Bacterial small subunit ribosomal RNA", at positions 15 to 518 of the family's 1533-position model. The record is from RNAcentral.